This 1507-nucleotide long non-coding RNA is filed under the name Oryza sativa (Asian cultivated rice). RNAcentral's name for it is "long non-coding RNA (OSAT_LNC000796)". Lineage: Eukaryota; Viridiplantae; Streptophyta; Magnoliopsida; Poales; Poaceae. The record is from RNAcentral.
AACACCCUCCCAUACCUGCAUCAUCAUCAUCACACCAUCAUCAGUGUUACUACCACCAUGCAUGCUAGCUAGUUAAGUGUUGUGCAACCUUUACAUUCCUUUUCUCUCGCUUGUUCAUCGGAAGAAAAGGUUUGCACAACUCUUUAACAAGAUGCUAAACACUGUCCAAUUCAUGUUACAGCACCCCCCUCAUCAGGGAGGAAAAAAAAGGGCGUGAUAAAGCUGCUGGGACAGGACAGCAGCAUUACCUUGUGCUGUCACAUGAAAUAAUGGUACAGUACUUAAUUGCAUGGUAAGAUGACACUUGUUGCUCCUGUGUGGUUGUGGUGGUGAUACUGAUAGAAAUGUUUACUGCAUAUGAUUUUAAUUUACCUGGAGCAGUGAUCCUCCAGGAAGCUGCCCAGGGUGUUGCUAGCAUGAGGACUGAGGAACCUCAGCGUCUCACCAAGGAGAGGCCACCCAAAGCUUCCCUUGGGAGCCUUGGGAUUCAGGAGCAAAGGCAGGAAGUGGCUCAGCACCAGGGUCAGCAGCAAAGCAAGCAGGAUCACCAGAGCAGCCAGCACAAGCUCUCCUCCCACCAUCUUACCUAUAGCCUCACACCAGGCACCACCACCCCCUGCUCAUCUUAUCUCAAUCUCAUCUCACAACAAGAAGCAUGGAUGGAGCCUUGCAGCAGCUAAGCCUUAGCUUGCUAAGCUCUCUCUCUCUCUCUGCCUAUCUGUCUAUUCUACCAAGUUUCUAUCUAACCCUUUCACUAGCUUGUGCUCAACACUCUGCUUCUCUCCCUCUCCCUCCCUCUAUUUUUCUCUGGAAUGGAAGGUGAGGGGGGAGGCUAUAUAGCAGUAGAAGCAAAGGCAGGAAGGAUCUUUGCAAAGGGAGGGAGUGAUGGAAAGGGGUGAUGAGCAGGGGGGGGAGGGAAAAAAAAUAGAGGCUGCCUUUUGUUUCCUUGCUUUGGCCUUGUUUUAAAGUAGAAGUAGGGGUAUUUCUUUCUUGCAUUGUUUGAUCUCUGUUUCUCUCUGUUUUCUUUUUUUUUUUACUGCAGUGAAGUGAAUUGGCUGCAUGCAUAUACUGUGCCAGUAGUAGCUUUUAUCAAGGAGGGCUAUGAGCCUACAGCCUAGGACUAGGAGGAUGGUCCAAUGCAGAGUAGCUAGCAUCUAGGCUGCUGCUGCUGCUCAAGGUGCAGUCAAACACGCAGGUAGAGAGAGAAAUGCAUUGGGGUAGUACAUGCACAGCCAGGUGCAGAUCGAUGCAUGGGACAUCGGUGAUAAUUAAGCUCUCUCUGAAUCUGAUGAAGCUUAUGCGCGCGCGCGCACACACCUUGCCUUUGCAAUCUGUUCUUGGGGAUCCCCUGCUUCGAUGACUCAUAUCUGUGUCAUUUCCUAAAGCCCUUCUUUUUCAUGACAAAAAUUACAGCAACAGGGGUCGAUUUGGCCUUGUUCACUUCAGUUUGUCUGUGUUUUUUAUGGUGACUUGUGUGUGCUUUGUCAUAAUUCUGAAGAUGUUGUAU